GGAUUUUAAAAUGAGCUCAAAAGUGGAGAAUAUGAAUUACUAAAGACAAGAGAAAUGGAUAUUUGGUGCUUUUCAUUUGAGAAAUUCACCGGAAGAUAUGACUUCUCAGAUUAAUGGUAGAUUCUAGAGUAGCAGUCCUUGAAUUGGAGUCUUUACCUUCGUCCUUUUGAAUAUAAAUAAAUAAAAGAACUUUUCAAUAGCCUUUUUAACGGCUAAGAUUGAGAAGGAUGAUAAUGUUAUUGAUGGUUGUUACCACAAACGACUGUAGUUGUAGCGAAGACUUACCUUACUGUUAGAGGCGGAUCCAGAAUUGAAACUCUAUGGGUUCAAGUGUUAAGGUAUUUAGCAUUACAUCUAUUAUAUUUGUUAAGUUAUGGUUUCAUGUCUACUAUCUAUUGCAAUUUUAGUGACGUUAUACACAUAAAUUUAUUAUUCACUUCGAAAGUUAUGAGUCCAAUUGAACCCGUAACUAAAGUGGUACAUCCUCCCCAGCUUACUGUCAAAACGAUCGAUGGCGAUGAUUUACUUGGCUGUUCGAACGACUUAAUUCUAGAUGUGGUAUUUUGUUCCAACAUAUCGUGAUUCUCAAUAUAUUGAUAUGAUUUCCUUAAUCAAGAUUCCAGCAGCCAUAAGUCAAGUUGUUAUUAACUUUACUAUCUUAUUUGUUCUGUGUCUCUUCUAGGCACAUGAUGUCUAAGCAAGGGUUGAAUCCGUUGUUCCCAAUGGAGGAUAUUGAAGUAAUGGGCAUUUGAAAUGGCAGUCUACAGAAGUUGUUUUCUCUUUCAAGCCUCAUGACUUUAAAGGAUUCUCCUUCCGUUUCUUAAAGCAUUUGCAGGGUGAUGAUAUGCAACUUUUAUGAGUUUGAAAUAGAUUUUUACUUUUUCCUUGUGCAGGGAGAAAAUAAGGUAUAGAAACAAAGGGAAAUCCUUUUUGCUGCAAGAUUCAUUCAACAAGAUGAUGUAUCAAAUCAGAGUCACUCUAUUUUUUCUUCUUUAAACUGUGUACCAGUGGGUCGAUGUGGAUUAAUAUAGAAAGUUGUCCUCAACUUUUAGUUAGAGGAUGAAGAUGAACUUCCUAAGUUGGACAUUCAAUUGAAGCCUCUUUACAAGUUAAAUCUUUAGUGACACAAUCUUGCGGGAAGACAGCCUCUUCAAGAAAGAAAUUUUCAUGAAAAUAUCUUUUUGUCUGGGAAUAGAAAGAGUAGGAGAUGAGUAAGAGGACUAAGAGGUUUGGAGACUCCUUAAGAAUAGUCAGAUUUAACAUAGAUGAUGAAGACUUCAGUAAGAGACGGAGAUACCUCAAAGUGAAAUGUUGAACUCUUCAGUGAUCACGUAAGAGACGCAAUGACUGUUACUCUUUUUUGCAGUAACCUACUUCCAUUGUUUCGUUGUUGAAUUACUCUAAAGUUCUGAACUUUAGAUUUAUUUAUUUUAUUAAACUCUACACAUCUAAGUUUUUAUUAGUUACUGAAGGUGUUUCACAGUC
This is a non-coding RNA of Nicotiana tabacum (common tobacco), 1485 nucleotides long. The record is from RefSeq and is a predicted model, not a curated record. NCBI's taxonomy places the organism in Eukaryota, Viridiplantae, Streptophyta, Magnoliopsida, Solanales, Solanaceae.